GUGCUAAGGUAGCAUAAUCAUUUGCUACUUAAUUGGUAGCUGGAAUGAAAGGUUAAACUAGCUUACUCAGUUUGUUGUGUUUUGUAAGAAAUUAAAGUCGAGGUAAGAAUUCUUUGAUCUGCUAGGGGACGAUAAGACCCUAGAAGCUUAACAAUAAGAGUAUUUAUUAGUUAUAAAAAUUAAUUUGUUUUACUGGGGCGGUAAAGGUAUAUAAACUAUUAGUGUAUUGAUAGAUCCUUAAAAUAAAGAUAAAACGGGAAAGUUACUCUAGGGGUAACAGUGCAAUAUUUUUGGAGAGAUCAUAUCGAUAAAAAUGUUUGCAACCUCGAUGUUGAAUUAAGAUGUCUACCUGAAGCAGCAGGUACGUGAGAGGGUUUGUUCAACCUUUAAAUUUUUACAUGAUCUGAGUUCAAACCG
This 417-nucleotide ribosomal RNA is filed under the name Gammarus sp. lacustris-type SB62. RNAcentral's name for it is "partial 16S ribosomal RNA". It matches the Rfam family "Bacterial large subunit ribosomal RNA", at positions 1948 to 2618 of the family's 2925-position model. The record is from RNAcentral. Lineage: Eukaryota; Metazoa; Arthropoda; Malacostraca; Amphipoda; Gammaridae.